This 431-nucleotide ribosomal RNA is filed under the name uncultured Rhizobium sp. RNAcentral's name for it is "bacterial SSU rRNA". It matches the Rfam family "Bacterial small subunit ribosomal RNA", at positions 29 to 507 of the family's 1533-position model. Lineage: Bacteria; Pseudomonadati; Pseudomonadota; Alphaproteobacteria; Hyphomicrobiales; Rhizobiaceae. The record is from RNAcentral.
AACGAACGCUGGCGGCAGGCUUAACACAUGCAAGUCGAGCGCCCCGCAAGGGGAGCGGCAGACGGGUGAGUAACGCGUGGGAAUCUACCGUGCCCUACGGAAUAGCUCCGGGAAACUGGAAUUAAUACCGUAUACGCCCUUCGGGGGAAAGAUUUAUCGGGGUAUGAUGAGCCCGCGUUGGAUUAGCUAGUUGGUGGGGUAAAGGCCUACCAAGGCGACGAUCCAUAGCUGGUCUGAGAGGAUGAUCAGCCACAUUGGGACUGAGACACGGCCCAAACUCCUACGGGAGGCAGCAGUGGGGAAUAUUGGACAAUGGGCGCAAGCCUGAUCCAGCCAUGCCGCGUGAGUGAUGAAGGCCCUAGGGUUGUAAAGCUCUUUCACCGGUGAAGAUAAUGACGGUAACCGGAGAAGAAGCCCCGGCUAACUUCGUG